GAGGGUGUAGCUCAGUGGUAGAGCACAUGCCUAGCAUGCACGAGGUCCUGGGUUCAAACCUCAGCACCUCCA
This is a transfer RNA of Camelus ferus (Wild Bactrian camel), 72 nucleotides long. It matches the Rfam family "tRNA". From Rfam's summary of the family: Transfer RNA (tRNA) molecules are approximately 80 nucleotides in length. Their secondary structure includes four short double-helical elements and three loops (D, anti-codon, and T loops). Further hydrogen bonds mediate the characteristic L-shaped molecular structure. tRNAs have two regions of fundamental functional importance: the anti-codon, which is responsible for specific mRNA codon recognition, and the 3' end, to which the tRNAs corresponding amino acid is attached (by aminoacyl-tRNA synthetases). tRNAs cope with the degeneracy of the genetic code in two manners: having more than one tRNA (with a specific anti-codon) for a particular amino acid; and 'wobble' base-pairing, i.e. permitting non-standard base-pairing at the 3rd anti-codon position. The record is from Rfam. NCBI's taxonomy places the organism in Eukaryota, Metazoa, Chordata, Mammalia, Artiodactyla, Camelidae.